GGUGAUGUAGGGCAAGAGGGCGGGGUAAGACGGAGGGGGGGAGGGUGGGCCGGAGUGAUUGGGUUUGAAUGGGGGGUAGGCGGGAUGUUAAGGCAGUGGUGAAAUCUCCAGUAUCAACCUGGAAACUGCCAUUGAUACUAUUAGGCUUGAAUUUUGUGGAGGGAGGCGGAAUAAGUCAUGUAGCGGUGAAAUGCUUAGAUAUGACUUAGAACACAAAGUGCGAAGGCAGCUUGCUAAACAAAUAUUGACGCUGAGGCACGAAAGCGUGGGGAUCAAACAGGAUUAGAUACCCCUGUAGUC
Molecule: ribosomal RNA, 300 nt
Filed under: uncultured Helicobacter sp.
Lineage: Bacteria; Pseudomonadati; Campylobacterota; Epsilonproteobacteria; Campylobacterales; Helicobacteraceae
Description: bacterial SSU rRNA
Rfam family: Bacterial small subunit ribosomal RNA (bases 52-300)
Source: RNAcentral